This 216-nucleotide ribosomal RNA is filed under the name Glomeromycotina sp. RNAcentral describes it as "partial small subunit ribosomal RNA". The stretch from base 75 to 216 matches the Rfam family "Eukaryotic small subunit ribosomal RNA", at positions 721 to 864 of the family's 1831-position model. The record is from RNAcentral. Lineage: Eukaryota; Fungi; Glomeromycota.
GGGUCAGUAGGUUGGUCGUGCCACCGGUACGUACUGGUCUCACUGAUUCCUCCUCCCUGAAGAACCGUAAUGCCAUUAAUUUGGUGUUGCGGGGAAACAGGACUGUUACUUUGAAAAAAUUAGAGUGUUCAAAGCAAGCUAACGCUUAAAUACAUUAGCAUGGAAUAAUGAAAUAGGACGAUCGGUCCUAUUUUGUUGGUUUCUAGGAUUGACGUA